UUUUUUUCUUUUGUAGAUGUUUGUUUACCUUUUCUUUUUAUUUGUCUAAAAAUGCUUCUUUUUUUAUACUGAAACAAUUUCUUACUGUAGAAAUUGCAUUAGUAUGUAAGGAAUUAAUAUUUUACAUUUAUAGUAGCAUGACUAAAUUUACUGAAUGUGUUAGCCAUAUAUUAUACGUUACGCAUAUAGCAUUAAAUAAAUAACCAAAUUACUCGUUGCUCGGAUUGGAUAAAUUUGAGAAUAAAAAAAUUUAAAAUAGCAUUAGUAAUACUUUUGAAAAUAGAAUACCUGCUCCUUAAAUAGUAAAAAUAAAAUACAUGUUCCUUGCCUUAGUAGAUCAAAAUGUAGUCCAAAUACUUUUGUAAUAAAUAGGAUAUGUGUGGUAUGAUGGAUAAGGAAAAUUAAUUGUGGGAUAAAUUUUUAGUACCUUUAAUGUUUUGAUUUGUUAGACAACUUCUAUCAGAAUUUAUAAUUAGAUAGCGAUAAGUUAUUCAUGUCUUUGGGUGGAGGAAUAAUUUUAGGAUAAAAUAAUAAAAAUACGUCCCUCAAAACCUUUUUAUACAUCACUAAUAUAACAAAGCUAAAUAAAGUGGAAACUAUUUUCGUAAACAAAUAAUUUAUUUUUAAAAUUUAUGCAAUGCAUGUUAUUUUAAUCACCUAAAUUCAGUAAUUCACAACCUAUUUAUCAUAUCCUCUAAAAUUUUCUAUCAUUUGAAAUUACUAAAAGUCCCUAUUUUCCUCCUCUCUCUCUCUUCUAUUUUUGGAUACAUCACUCUUACAAUAUGUAUCGGGAUAUGAUGUAUUGGGACAAGUGUGUUUUGUAUCAAUAAAGAUAAUGUAUCGAGACGCGAUCUAUCGAGACGUUAUGUGAUGUAUUCAUAAUCCUUAAAUUUCAAGAGAUUGUAAUUCGGAAAAAAAAAUAAGAAUAAGAUGUUAUUAGCUUUUAACAUUAUGAGAUUUGUGUAAUUUUUACUUUUAUUAAUACAAUAAAGCAAACAAUUAAUCAAAGAUUAUAUUCAAAUAGUUAAUCUGCAUAUAACUAAUUUCAAUAUAAUUAAUUUCAUAACUUUUCUUCAAACUAGACACCCCACGGAAUAAUAUUUUUUUCGUUGUGUUAAAUAAUUGUUGGUAUUUUCUCAUCUACUUCUACCUGGCUAAUGCAUGGCCAUAGUAAAAUUGAAGGCUCUUCAUUAAUAAAGGUAACCUCUUUUAAAAAGUCUACUCAGCAAUGAAUAGACAAAGCUAAAAAGGCAAAAAGAAAAAGAAAAGAAAAGAAGAACCAAAAGUCAAUGGCAAUAACACUUUUUACCAAGUUAAUUUAAAGGGAAAAAGGAUAAAUAUACUCUUGAACUAUCGUAAAUGGUAUGCAAAUAUUCUCCGUCAUACUUUUGGGACAUUGGUGUCCCUGUCAUCCAAAAACUAGAGCAUAUAUACUCUUAUACUAACGGACAUACACGUGUCAUAAUCUUAUUCAUCGAUCCAACAUUUAUUGACGGAUAAGAUUGUGCCACGUGUCCCUAUUUAGUCUUCCGUUAGUGUGAAGGGCAUAUAUGCUCUAGUUUUUGGACAACAAGGGCACCAAUGUCCCAAAAAUAUGCCAGAGGGUAUUUGUAUACCAUUUACGAUAAUUAGGGGAUAUAUUUCUCUUUUUUCCCUUUAAAUUAACUUGGUAAAAAGUGUUAUUGCCAUUGACUUUUGGUUCUUCUUUAUUAGGAGACAUUGAAAUAAGGGGUUGGUUUUCCUAGAGAAGCAUACAUUACAUUAAAAAAAAAAAGAUUUUAGUAGCAAUUAAUUAACGGGAAUAACUCAAUUAUCGCUAAAUAUAUAUUUUUAGCGGCAAUUAGUACUCUUUGUAUAUGUUCCUAAAGCCUUUAGCGACAUUGUAUCUAAUGACAUUUAACUAAUGUCGAUAAAGACUUAACAUUUUUUAUUAAUGUGUGUUUAUUAUCGCUAAAAGUUAUUUUUGUUGUAGUGGUAUAAAAUAGGAAGCAAAACACUUUGAUUGUAAUUGGAAUUUAACUUUAUUUAUUUAUUUUAUUCUUUCUGACAUGCAUAUAUAUUCAAGUUCAAAAUUAAACGGUGGAGGCUCUUUUUUUAUAUUAUAAUGAAUACACUUUUGAUUUAACAUAACAAUAUAUAUAAUUCAAUUUGACUUUUUUGACAAAAUCCAAGAAGAAAUUUAGGAAAUAUUAAGUGUCAUGUUUUUCAAUCUAUAGAACUACAGACACCUAAACCUGACCCACUAUUCCUAUUCGCACUGUUUGGUAUAAAUUAAUUUUAGUUUUUUUUUAAUCGGGAAAAUGGGAAGGAGAUUAAAAGACAUGAAAUCGACUUAUGAAAAUUAAAAUAAGUCAAUUAAGAUACUAAGAUUUUUUUUCUAUAUUAUUGGUUAUUUGUUAAAAUUUAUUUGUAAAAUCAUUGAAACUUUAACUUUUGAUUAUUUUCUUAGUAGUAAAAUUAUAAAUUGAACAUACAUGAGAUGUCACUCUACAGAUCCAUAAAAUUUACGCAUUGUACCGUGCCUUAAGACUUAUGUCUCACCUGUGCUACAUAAAACGUCACACCUUAUAUACCGCCCCACCUUUUAAAACACGGUUGGUACCUUAUGCAAGUGUAAUUUAUAGAUCACUCACACAUAUUGGGGUAGAAUUAAAAAGUCAUGGAAUCAUCUGCACCGAUUAUGUAUUCAUACACUAUAUUUUUUUUAUUUCGUCAUGUUUCAUAUGCAUAUGUGUAUACAUAGUGAAUUAUUUAUAUACGCAAAAUUUAUAAUCACCGUAUUUCAUAUGCAUACGUAUAAGCAUAGUGAAUUACUUAUAUACGCAAUUUUAUAUAUAUAUAUAUAUAGGGCUUUCAUCAAUUAAUAGAGUAAUUAAUUUUUCUUCAAAGCUCAUAUCAAGAGCAUGAACUCGUGUACAUUGACAAAUCUACCUUAGGGCUUAGGCUAAGGGUGGUUACGUGACUCCGUUCAUUGAAAUUUUCUUACUACUACUUAAGUCUACUUUUAAUUGUCAUAAUUUCCUUAUUUAUAAUCAAACGAUAAUAACUAUGUACCCGAGGAGACUCAAACUAGAAUCUUUGAUUAAAAAUGAAGAAGUACUUUGACUAAUAUUUUACGAUGUAUUUUUUUCAUGAGAUGCAAAAAAUUGGAAUUUAUAGUAUUUUUUGUAUAGUUUCUGAAUAUCUAUUUUUAUUUAAAAAAAUAUCAAAUUGAUGUAAUUUAAUUUAACUUUGAAAAUUAGUCAAAUUGACUUUCAAAAGCGCAACAUGACAAUUAAAAGUGGACAGAUGGAGUAAAAUGUACAAUAUGCAAAAAAAAAAAAAGGUAGUAAAUUAUAUAAAAUCAUAACACGUUAUCAAUCUGCGCUAUUGUUAUAUUUUUAUGUAUAAAUAGAAGAUGUUGAACUCUUUUCGAUUAUUUUAUAUAUUUACUUAUUCAUAUAUUUUGAACUUUCUUAGUGAAAAUUGGAACUCCGCAUAGUAAUGUGGUUAAAGAGGUGAAUUGAAGGUUGCGAUUAGGCUUUUGACUUUGCAAACAAUAAUUGAGGAGAAAGAAGAAAAUUGAAGGGGAAAAAAAGGUGGAAAAUAUAGUAAGAAGGUGGUGGGCGUGACAGUGAACAGAACAAAAUAUAAGAGGUAACAAGAAAAAUGCCUUUUAUCUAAACUUAAAAGAAGAGGCAUGCUUUGCCUUUCAUCAUCAUUCAUGAAAAUUGAUAAGACAUUUAUGUUUAAAACCGGCAAAAAAUUAAUAAAAUAAUGUCUUUUUUAAAAUUUAUUUUGGAUAUGUUUGUUUUUUCCCUGUUGAAACUAUGUUAUACAUGUUUGGCCAUCUAAAGUAAAUUACCAAGGAUUCCUUAGUAAAAUGAUUACUAUAGUAUAUUUUAUAACAUAGGAAAGCGAAUAAUUCAAAGUGGAUUAUUCUUAAAUACCAUACACAAAGUGGAUACCAUUCUAUGUUUGUGGCGAUGAUACAAAUUUUAUGUGAUGCGAAUCAGAAUUUAAUGUAAGUUGUGAUUUUUAUCAUAAUGAUGAAUUUGAGAUUAUGAUUUGAUUAAGUUGAAGUGUUGAACUAUCGAUAUAUGUAAUGUACUUUACUCGUUUAUAGUUAAUCAUGUUUUACCACAUGCAACUUGCCUCUUGCAAUAUUCUUACAGUAGACAAAGAUAAUUACUUCAACCUAAGUACUAGGAGUAUUAUUAGUAUUAAAUUGGCUGAUAAACCUGACAUUUAGAGACAUUUCAGCAUUUUGAGACAAACUCGUGACCAACCUAAUCAUUUUUAGUUACGACUUACGAGGAUCGAAAUAAAAUAUAGAGCACAACUAGCUUGUUUCUCCUUAUUUUUGAAAUUACACUAAGUAUAUUUGUAAUAGUUAUUUUUGUUGAAGAAGAAGGAAGCUGACGAUUGGAACAUAUCAAAGAACAAGUCCAACGAAGCUGACUGACGUGUCUGCAGCAAGUGUUGAUGAAGAAGCAAGCUGACGAUUGGAACAUGUCAAAGGAACAGGUUCAACGAAGCUGACUGACGAGUUUACAACACUGCUCUAGAAUUAGAGUCGCACUAGGAUUAGACUACUUAUAUUAAUUAGGAUUAUAUUACGACUAGAAUUAUAUUAUGAUUAGGAUUGUAUUACGACUAGAAUUAUAUUAUGAUUAGGAUUAUAUUACGACUAUAAUUAUAUUAUGAUUAGGAUUAUAUUACGACUAGAAUUAUAUUAUGAUUAGGAUUAUAUUACGACUAGAAUUAUAUUAUGAUUAUGAUUAUAUUACGACUAGGAUUAGAUUAUAUAUAAUUGUAUUAUUAUUAUUAUAGUAGUAGUAAUAGGUAUUGUAGUAGGACUCUAAGUAUAACUAUACUUAGAGUCCUACUACAAUACUACUAUAUAGUAAUAAUAAUAAUGCAAAUAUAAAUAAUCUAAUCCUAGUUGUACUAAAAUCAUAAUCAUAAUCUAAUCCUAGUCGUAAUAUUAAUUUCCUUUGACAUGUUCCAAUCGUCAGCUUCCUUCUUCAUCAACACUUGCUGCAGACACGUCAGUCAGCAUCGUUGGACCUGUUCCUUGACAUGUUCCAAUCGUCAGCUUCCUUCUUCUUCAACAAUUAUUAUUAUUAUAGUAGUAAUAGGUAUUGUAGUAAGACUCUAAGUAUAGUUAACUUAGGACUUUACAUUUUUCUACAUGGUAUCAGAGCAUAAAAGCUCUUCCGCUCUCUGAGUAUUGAUCAAAAAAAAGAAAAAAAGAAAACACACGUUGCAAUGGCCCCUUCUACCGAAACCAUGUCAACCUCCCCACUUCACCAAAUCAUUGUCGCUUGCUCCAUUAAACUUAAGCCAACAAACUACACACAAAUAUCCCAAUUGAUUCACGUGAUGAAAACAAACAUAUCUCAUCACAGAGAAUGAACCAAGUAAAAACAGUUGUUCCACUGGACAAACUGCUGGGAAAGUUAUAGAGGUCGAGAAGGAUGCAAAAGAAAGUAACACCAUUGCUGAUUGGAAGGAGAAAUAUGUGUUACUAAGGAGUUGGAUCUCAAGCACCUUGACCGAAAAAAGCAUGCACCUAAUUGUGGGCUGCUCAAUUGCCAAGGAGAUGUGGGAAUGCUUGAAAAAAGUUUAUAUUCAAGCAACAAAAGUAAUUUAUUUUGCUAGAGAUUUAGGUCUCAAAUACAAGACGUUUAGGAUAAUCACAUUAGGUAAGACACUAUAUUCCACCCUUAAUCAAUUUAUUUAUGCUCUCACGAGUUUUGAUAUAAGGGAAGAUGAAGAAGAGGUGUCACAACAAAGCCAUCACAUGGUAUUCUCUGCCUUUUUGAGCAGGGGAAGAGGAAACAACAACAUCAACUCCAGAGAAAUAGGUUUCAAGCCUGCUGGACAGGGAACAAGUUCUCAGAACAGUCAAUAUGGACCAGGUUCUCUGAACAAUAAAAGUUCUCAAAGUGAAAAUAAGGAGAGGAAUAAUAUUAAGUCAUGUCAAAUCUGUGGUAGGAAUAAUCAUACUGCUCUUAAGUGUUUUUAUUGGUGGAACUACUCGUAUCAAUCUGCAGAUGAACUAUCACAAGCAACGACUAGCCAUCACAUUUAUACCGAAGCAUUGACAAAACAAUUUUUUGCUGGGUAUUCAAAGUUUUUUUUUUGCUGCGUAUUCGAAUCAAGCUAGGAGUAACCGUUCCUCUAUUCACUAGCUUGAGGGGAAGUGUUGAAGAAGAAGGAAGUUGACGAUGGGAACAUGUCAAAGGAACAAAUCCAACGAAACUAACUGACGUGUCUGCAGCAAGUGUUGAUGAAGAAGGAAGCUGACGAUUGGAACAUGUCAAAGGAACAGGUCCAUCGAAGCUGAUUGACGAGUUUACAGCACUGCUCUAGAAUUAGAGUCGCACUAGAAUUAGACUACUUAUAUUAAUUAGGAUUAUAUUACGACUAGAAUUAUAUUAUGAUUAGGAUUAUAUUACGACUAGAAUUAUAUUAUGAUUAGGAUUAUAUUACGACUAGAAUUAUAUUAUGAUUAGGAUUAUAUUACGACUAGAAUUAUAUUAUGAUUAGGAUUAUAUUACGACUAGAAUUAUAUUAUGAUUAGGAUUAUAUUACGACUAGAAUUAUAUUAUGAUUAGGAUUAUAUUACGACUAGGAUUAGAUUAUUUAUAAUUGCAUUAUUAUUAUUUUUAUAGUAGUAAUAGGUAUUGUAGUAGGACUCUAAGUAUAGUUAACUUAGGAUGUUACAAUUUUCUCCCUAUAUAAGGAGGUUGUAACUCAACAUUAUUUUCAUCAAUAUAAUCCUUGAUUUCUCCCUAUAUGUCGGUGAAUUAAUUGUAACAAAGAAUGAUUAGAGUUCAUAUAAAGAUGGCAAAUAUGAUAAAUUCAACUUGCUAUUAUAAUUUCAAUAUGUAGUUUCUUUCACCAUCAUGAUGUACAAUGCAUCCAUUAAUUAUUAUGAUUUAUGACAAUUAUAAUGAAAUAAAUUACACAUACACUUAACUAUAAAGUUUAUUUACCAAAUUAUGAAGAUUUAUUAUAUGAAAAUAGAUAAUAGUUGUCCUUGGUAGCUGGCUAGCACUUUCCAGGUUUCUGUCAAUUUUGUCAUCUGCGCAACAAUACCACACAAACAAGUCUAAAGUAAAAUUUCCAAAAUUAAGUGGAGACAUUGUAUAUUUAGGUCAACAAAAAAAUAAAUACAAUUAAUAAUUAGAAAAAUUUACGUAAAUCUCACUAGUUUAAGAGCUAAUUACUCAUAUACACUCUACUUUUGCAAUAGUAUUACGUAUCUUAAUAGAUUUUGGUACAUUUAGAUACAUCCAUAUACAUGUAUUUUAGAAUACAUGAGAUAAAAAUCAUUUAUAAUUUAUUUUAGAUAUAUUGUAUCCAAGUGAAUUCGCUUGUAUAUGAGAUUAUAUUGUCUACUUUUGAGUUUUACCUUAUAUAUAUUCUUUGUCUUUUCCUGUUUAGCCAUUUUGCUGAAUCAGCAAAAUUGUCUACAAGAUUAAAUUCACAUACUUUUACUUCUCUUUCAACUACUUGUUGAUCUCUAUCUAAUCGCUUCGUUCUUUUUUGCGUGUAUCUAACAUUUUCUUAGUCCAUUUUCACUCCCCUUGUAUGUUUGAUUGGCACAGUACACUUUUAAAAUUAAUAGAUAGAAUGAUAAUUUAACUACAAUGUGCACUUUUUCGUCAUUAUUUUCAGAAUGAAUCGUUGUUCACAUCAAUUGUCAGUUUGCACAUAAGUUUUUCAAUGUCCAACUACAAAAGCUGCUAUUUAGAAUUCCCCAUCAAAAAACUGGUGCACUGAUUAUCUCAUCAUAUGCUCAAAAAGAACCUCCAAGAUUUGCUCUUCCUAUGGAAGGAACUAAGAAACGAAAAUUGGGACCAUCCACUCCGACGAAUCAAAAGUAAUAAGCACUCCACAAUUUAAUAUAGCAUAAUCUCUAACUUAUUUAUUCCUUUACAAUAUACAACUUCGCCAUAUAGGUAUAAGUAAAAAAGGGUUGAGUACAACGAAGAAAAAUCACGUGAUUUGUCAUGUAUAGCUGAAUUUUGAUUGCCUAUACCAUCAUCAAAGAAUGAGCUACCUCAACUAGUGGCGGCUCAACCUAAUUAGUGGCCUAAAGCCAAAUAUAAAUCGGAGGACUAGUUUUUUUUUUUUUUUUUUUGAAAUCCAAAUUAUUUUAUUUUUUUAAUGAAAAUGCUUUAUUUUUUCUAUGGUCUUAUACUAUAUAUAUAUCAAAAUAUUUUAUAAUCUUGUGAUCUUAAACAUGUCAUGUAGAAGUUAAAUUUAAAAAUUGACCAAAAAAAAAACAUUCUUUAAUGUUUCAAAACAAACUAAAAGAAACACAAAAUAUUAUUUAUUUUUUUGUUAAAAAAUAAAUAUAAUAAUUCUAUUAUUACUAAAAAAAUGAGGCCCUCAAAUUUUUGGACCUAAGACGGAUGCCUCAGUUCUAAAGGUAUCGAGCCGCCCCUAACCUCAACAAAGUUUCUCCUUUUUGAGCGCAUAUUAACAACCUACAUCAACUACUAGUUAUUUUAUAAUUUUUGUGAACAUAACGGUAAAAGUGCGGUGGCCACUACUUUGCCUGCUCAAAAUGUUUGCUCCAACUAAGCGUGCAUAUACUAAGGGGUCGUUUGGUGUGAGGGAUAAUACCAAAUAGUCCUGGGAUUAAAUUAUAGUACCGCUUAUUUUGUUGUUUGGUUGGCAAGUUCGGGAUAACUUAUCCCGGGAUUAAUAAUUAGUACCGGGAUAAGUUAUCCCUAACCUAGGGUGGUAUAGUAAUCCCGGGAUAACUUAUCCCGGGAUAAAUAGGUAAAUGACAAAAAUGUCUCUUUCAACCCUUUUGUUAUAUCACUUUUUACAUUAAUGAAGGGCAUUUUUGUAAACAAAUAAAUUGUUCUUAAAAUUUAUUAUUUUGAAUACAACAAACCAAACACUCAAUAAAAAAUAAUCCCAACACAACUUAUCCCAUCAUAACUAAUCCCAACAUAACUUAUCCCAACAUAACUUAUCCCAUCAUAACUCAUUUUCAAACCAAACGACCCCUAAGUGUAUAUAUAUAUAUAUACACACCCCUUCCCUUCGGCCCGUGCUGACAUGGGAUUCUCUUCUAGUUACCAUCACUAUUCACCAACAGUUAACAUCUAAAUAUCUUCAGAGAAAAAAUUGUCGAAUAUGAGACCAAGUAAUAUUAUAACAAGCUCAAAACAGAGCCUUGACAAUGUGCGCCUUACAUCAGGAUCGGAAUAUCUAACCUACCAAAACAAAACCUCAUGGCCCCUGACGAACAUAUCUAAUAACCAAUCAAUAAUACAAGGAAGCAGCAAAUACAUCCUCAAACAACAAAGACAAAAAGUCCAAAUAGAGAAAAUUUAAGGACUAGGAAUAUGGAAAGGUGCAACAGUGAAACUGAUCUGCUCUGAGCUAUGCCAUCUAUUCAAAUGCUUCAUCAUCGUCAUCUGGAAGUGGCUGAUUAAGGGCUUGUUGAAGCUCCUGUUCAUGCCUGAAUAAACAGUGUGGUUAAAAUUAAAAAUCGUACAACGAAAAAACAAAAUGUUAAGCACAAGGAGCCUAGCACAUCACAGAGCCAAGCGCUAUAGGGUCGAUUUGCAUGAUCUAAACCUAACAGGAACCUAAUACUUGUUGGUAUUCUUUAAGAUACGAGGGUUGCUCAUGAUCAAAAUCAUCAGUUCUAACUCUGAUAUACAUAUUAAGAUGCAAUGAACAUUGUCCAACUCUGUUAUACAUAUAAAACAGUGAAUAUCUGAUAUUUUCACAGACUUGCUAACAGUUAUCAAUUCUAUGGAAUACACAUAUAAAACUCUUACAAUGCCUGUGCAGCUAAGUCAAUUUGUACUUCUGGGGGAGCAAGUGCAGGUGAUUCCACAAAGUGAAGAUUACCAUCCCUACAAGUAGAACAAGAAAUUAGGUUCACAUCAACAGUACAUAUGAAUAGAACAGACAAGAUAUAGAUUUAUAUUUAUGAACAUUAAUUACCCAGCAAGCUUUCUAGCAAGGUACAGAAAAGGCUUCUCAAAGUUGUAGUUACUCUUUGCUGAGAUCUCAUAGUAUUGCAAAUUUUUCUUCCUGUGGAAGGUAACUUGCUUUGCCUUAACCUGCCUGUUCUUCACAUCAACUUUGUUUCCACAGAGAACAAUGGGGAUGUUUUCACAAACCCUGGAAGAAGCAAUUGAAUAGCAUUUCAGAUUUCAAUUGCAUAUCAUCAAUUAUAAGUAAGAGUAUAAUGCUGGCAGCCUAUGAAGAGUUCCUCACCGGCAAAGAUCUCUAUGCCAAGUAGGAACAUUCUUGUAGGUCAGACGGGCUGUAACAUCGAACAUGAUAAUUGCACAUUGCCCAUGAAUGCUGGACAAUUGACAUAGAGAAAUAUGAGAAUCAAAAAUACAGUCACCAAAAGCUUCAAGCAAGACAAUUAAUGUCAAGGCAGUCAUACAAGUAACAAAUGUUUGAUGUAAAAAAGGAAUAGCAGGGUAAAUAUGGUAUUCUGAGCUCAAAAGAGACGCGGAUGUGAGCACAAUUACUGUCACCUCAGAUAUGAUUAACCACAUUGUAGAAAUACCUAUAGUGGCAUUUGAUGUAGAACACCACACGUUAUCAAUUAUUCUUCACAAACAAACCAGCAUUCCUUAAUUCCAAUAUUUCAGCUUUUGGGAAACAUGAAACUUCACCCAUUUAACUUGACAGUAAAAGUUUUAAUCAUAAAAUAACAUCUAUCGAGCAGCAGAGCCUUGCAUAAACUAAAGGUUUUAACUGCCUACAAUCACUUACUAGUAACCAUCUCUGAGACCUCCAAACUUCUCUUGUCCGGCUGUAUCCCAGCAAUAAAAGCGAAUUUUCCCACAAUUUGUGAAGAAGUCUAGUGGAUGAACCUCCACACCAAUAGUGGCUGUAUGAAAACAAAACUUAAUAAAUAAUUUACUCACGAGAAACCAACAUAACAAGAAACAGAGCGAGAGCCUAUUGAAAAGGAUAACGACCCAGAUUAUCAGAAGACUCUAUCUGUCAGUACAGGAAAUAAAAAACUUACGUUCGUAUUUUUUCUCAAAUUCACCAGUGAGAUGCCUUUUGACAAAAGUCGUCUUCCCUGGAAAUCCAAUUACAACAGGAACCAUUAGGGUACUCUAACAAAAGGAAGCAAGCCACUAAUCUCAAUGAAACAUUCACUUCAAUUUACAAAGAUCAGAUUAUCUACGAUAAAUAGCAUUUAUCCCAUAAAUUCAGUGUAUACUCAUACAUUAUCAAUUAACUAUAUUGAAAUAACUUCCAUAUUUAAAAACUAUUCUGAAUCAAAAUUUCACACAAGUCAGUAAUGUUUUUCAAAUGUUUGAAGAAAUCAAAACAAAAUAUCUGUUUGACAUCAAAAUAUUGUUACUGAUAUUCUCUUCGAAACAAACGAUACUAGAAACAAAUCUCAGAUAAACAUAGAAACAUACCAGUUCCUCCAUCCCCCACAAUAACAAGCUUGAAGCUUGGAUAAUCUACAGUUUGUUGGUUUGGUAAAGCCUGUAAUAAUAAAUUCACAAACAUCAACACAAGAAAUCAGCCAAAACAGUUACAAUUCAACACUGGUCACAUAUCAAACUUCAUAAACACAUCACAAUCAAAGUUAAAAAUCAACUUCCUAGAAGAACAAAAAGGAGCAAUUGGACAACAAAAAAAUCAACAAAGUGUAUAAGCACCUCAAACUGAAACCUGUGGGGGAUUUUGAUGUCUCAAAAAAGAAGAUAAAACAGAUUGAAGACACAGAAGAUGGCGUACAUACAUCUUUAAAGCUUUACGUCUUGGUCAUAUUUGCUAUUUAUAAAAAAAUUCUUUCUUAUAGAAAGAAUGAAUAAUUUCUAAAUUAAUUAUUCGUAUGUAGAUUUUCAACAAUCAAUUUAUGUUUGUGAACUCCCAUCUUAGAGAAUGAAUCAUUUAACUCUAGUAUAUACCAUCUAAGUUCUCCACAGGCUAUCUCUCAAAAGAAAGAAUAUUUUAACAGCCCUAUUUUAUAAUUUCAAAUGUUUUAAGCCAAAUCCCACCACACGUAUCCAUACCUCAAUCCAUAUGGAUACAAAUCCAACACCCAGAUACGCAUCCAAAGCUUAUACACACAUCUAUCUCAAACUAUUCAGGGUCGAUUAGACACCUUAGAUCAGUUAUCAUUCCAAAUACAACAAAAAAUAACUCACUACAUCUUCAAAAACUCAUCCAACCAAAGCUAAAACCAACUUCUAAAACAAAGAAAAGGAACAACUUGACCAAACAAAGCCUAUAAACACCUCAAUCUCAUCAUCCCAAUACUGAUACACAAUUUGCAGCUAUAAAAGUUCUCCUGUACAUAACAACACUUCCCAUUCCAAUUAUGAUAAUCUACCAGCCGAGAAGAAUAAACUCAUCUAAAUCCUCAAAUACUCAUCCAAAUCAAAGUUAAUACAAAAAAAUAAAUCCAGCGAAUCGUAUAAACAUCUCAAUAAUCAUCUAAUUAUCAUUCCAAUUCUCGAAAAAAAAUCAACUAAUUAUAUGAAAAAUAAACGAGAUUUACUCACCAUUGUCGAAAGUAUGAGAAGAAAAUUCCUUCAAGAGAGAGAGCGGCAGAGCUUUUUUGUGUGUGUGAGGAAUGAAAAGCGAAACGGAAGUAGGGUUUAUAAAUUGGGGAAUUCGCUUAAACUUAACGCCAGUCUUUUUUUUUAUAUUCUAUUUUUGAAUUUCAAAUUUUUGUGUGUGUGUUAGAAACAUAAUAAACUAAUGUUUUUUAAAAAAAUAAAUAAAUAAAUUCUUUAUGUUUGUUUUUAACUUUUGUAAGUUUUAAGCUAAUAUAUUUUGUAAUUGGGUCCACUAGGAAUGUAUUAUUGCGUUUAGUCACCCUUGUUGUAUUACAAAUUACACAAAACUUUGACCGUUUGGCAGAGUAAUAGCGGAUUUAGGAUUUUCAUUCGGGAGUUUGAAACAUAUAUAUGAAGUAAAAGCACAAAAAUUAUGAGAUAACUAAAAACGUGGGGCGGUGAAUGGCAAUACUCAUUUUAAUCCACUUAAUUUUAACUCACAUUGUCAUGUCCCGUUUAACAUUUAUUACUAUUUCGAGUCCUUUCUAAAAUUUAUUGUGCUUUUUUUGCCUUCCCCUUCCUCUUUGCAGUGUUCAAUUUUUUCUUUCGAAUUAAUAUCCUUUCAAUCAUAUGUUAUCUUUAAAAUAAUAUUUUUCUUCAAAAAUAAUUUUGGAAUCUUGGUCAAGCUCAAGCACCGACAAAACUCUAAUAUUAAUAAAAAAAAUCAAAUUAAUUAAUCAAACACAAAUUAUUAAUAUACAAAAAGUACUUUAAUAAAAAAAAUUCAUAAUAACAAAUUUUAGAAGUUUAAUCAAUCACGCUAUUGAUUUUUUUAUUUUAGCUUUUAACAUAUUUACAGUAGUACCUAUUCUUAUUCCAUAUUUAUAAUAUAUAGAAUUUUACAUAUAAUUUAUGCAAAUAUUAUUUAUGGAAAAAAUAAAAGAAACUAUCGAGCGUUAGAAGCUAUCACGAUCGAAGACAUAACUUUGAACCCGUAGACCACUAAAUUAAGCUUCUCAAUUGUACUGAGGGGGUUCAUUUCUUUGUAUAUAACCAUACAUAUCGAAUUUGACCUUAUAAAUACAAUGUAAUUUUUUCGACGAGGGGAUUUGGAUGGACCCCUACUGCCCACGUAGAUCCGUCCCUGUGGUAGAGUAUCUAAGAAUAAUGCAAAAUAUAAUGUAUUAGUAAUACUUGUAUUGUUAUACUUGCAUUAGUUAUGCUGAGAUUUUUCUUAUGCAAUGUUUGGUUUGGUGUACUAAAAAUAUUAAGCAUUGCAUAAUUUUUUAAAGAAAUGUUUUUUUUAAAAAAAAAUAUUGGAAUGGAUGUGAAAAAAAUUUGAGGGACAAUUGUAUCUUUAACAUUGCUAAUGCAUGCAUUAGAAUUCAUUGCAAUACUAAUGCAUAGAAACCCAUGAUAUUAGUAAUUUACUCUUCAAUAUACAAUAACUAAUACAAGCAUUAGUUAUGCAUAAAUUAGAAAAGCGAACUAAACAAAGUACUAGUAACACAAUAAAGUGGGAAAGAUUAUUAUUUGUAAAUUCAAUUAGUUUUACUUAUUAAACUAACUAAUUGAAUGCCUGAUGUAAAAAGUGGCCUUUUGGCUUCCAUUUUAGUUUCUAGCUAGGUUGAUGUUUUUGUUGCAUCUUAAAUUUCGAUUCCAACAUAUAAAAUUGAGCGAGAAAUGUUUAUUUUGAGUUUUUAUUAGGGGAUAUUUUCGCCAAUCUUAAUUUUAUAAAUUGUCAGCUUUUUGUCUUUUCAAACGAAGUCAGACAUUUUUCUUAUUUUUAAGUGGCAAAAAUUGUAUAACGUUUUCAAAAACGUUUUUUUGGGCGAGUCCUGAGGAAGUUUUGAGGUGGGGCAUACUAAAACGCUCUGGGGUGCAAAUUAAAAACGUACAUUCAUAGGGCAUGAGACGUGAGUCCUAGAAUUUGGGGUGUAAGCUCCUAGCGUAAAACAUAAACCUUGGGCGUAAAAAUCGUACACCUCGGGCCUUUUUUUAAAAAUUAUUAUUAUUUUUGAACUUUUUUUUUUUAUUGAAAUCAUAUUUUUUUAUUUGUGUAAUGAUAUUUCUCAAAUAGUAAUUGUAAUAGUACUUUUUUCUUCAUUAUUGGUUAUUAAUACAUUUCUCAAAUAAAAAUCAUAAUAUUUUUUUUCUAUAUAUUAUAGCCUUAUAGGUUAUUAAUUUAAAUUUAUUUAUAGUAAUUGAAAGUUUAAACUUUUGCUUGUUUUCUUAGUAAUAAAAUUAUAAAAAAGAAUAUACACGAGACCACGUCCGUAGAUUCAUAAAACUUAUGUCUCAUGUCUCGAAGCUUACGUCUCGCUCCAAACUAUAUAAAACAUCUCGCCUCACACCCCAGCCUUCUAAAACACUACUCCAACCCUUUUAGCUUGAUCUAGGCCCAAUACACCGUCCAGUAUUCCAGUUUAAGAAGCUAAGCCCGCUAUGGACAGUUAUGGGCCCAUAAUUGUCAAGAAAAUUACACCGUCAACUCCUUUUAGAAAUAUUCAUUUUUAAAAUAUAUAUUUCAUAUAUUAUUAAUAUUUAAAUAAAAAAAUAUUAUAUGAUAAUUUGGAAUCUAAAUUAAUUUUAAGACUUUAUUUAGGAUUCUUAUUUGGCAUACAAAAAAUAAAAAAAGAUACUUUUAUUGCUUUCUUUGUCCUCACUAUUUUCACCUCGUUCUCUGUCAACAUCAUUGAAGCAAUUUGAGACAAUCAUCAACAGUAACUCUUUACUCAUUUUUUUCAAAAAAAUUUAUACUAAUUAACCUCAUCAGAAAACAAUCCAUAACUUAUUAAAUAUUCUUCGCAUUAUAAAAAAGUGCUUGGAUAGAUGCUUUAGACUGACUAUGUUUUAUCUUUUUAGUUCAUUCCAGCAACAACACAAAUUAAUUGAAAACAAACUUUGAUCAAAUACCAUCAUAUGUACUCAGGGGCGGACCCACAUUGGACAUUUCGGGUGCGCGAGCACCCAUUAAUUUCGUAUCAAACUAUGUAUAUUUAUAUAAAAAAUUGAAAGAAUGUGAGCACCGACUACACAGGUAGUCGUUUGAUUCAAUGGUUAUUUCUGGGUUUUUAAGGAUGUGUAUUGCAUCCGCGUUUGGGUUCGAUUCCCACUCUAAGCAUUUUUUUAAAAGUAUUUUGAAGACCAACUCUUCUAUUCUUAUUUAUUUCAUUUAGAACUUUUAUUUUUCACACCUUGUGUUGAUUGUUCUUUUUACUCUUUCUCUGUUUCCCUUUUGCUAUUUUUUUUUAUUAAAAAAAACGUUAUAAAAAAUAAUAUUUAUUGUAGUUUUAUCAUAUUAAUAUUUUUUGCUAUUGUGGCACUACAAAAAAACACCUAAAUCGUGGGGGUUUCAAAGUGGAGGUUAGCUGCAACCCCCACAAACUACAUUAAAUAACGAGGGUUUGGUAGCUGACGCAAAAUAAAAGUAAACAUCAGGGAUUUAAAAUCCCCAGAAAAAAAUUUAAGUAAAUACCGGGGGUUUAAACACCUGCUAUCUCAUAAUACAAUUUUUAUUUCAAAAUAUAAAAUAUAUAUUUUUAAUUCAUGAAAUAAAAAACACUCAUAGCUUUUGGAAAUACGUAAUUUAAUAAAUAGCUAUUUUUAAUUUAAUAACAAAAUACAAAAUAAACACAACUUUUGAAACUUCACUCCUUCCAAAUUACUCUCUCACUGUCACACUUCUCUCACCGCCACACUUCUCUACAGCGGCACUUCUCUGCCGUCUACAGCGGCACGUCUCCUCACAACUCUGUAAACUUCAGCUACUCACCAGAUUCAAAAUGGGAUAGGUGUUCUAAGGUAAUGUUUUCCACUUCUCACCUCUUUGAAUAAUGAACCUACCUCACAUUUUUGGAUUUUCUCAUCUGAAUCUUCACAAAUUGUACAAAUUACUGGUUGUAUUUACUAGAUAAGUUUAUUUUUUGGUUGUUUGUAUAGAUGCAUGGAGGUAGAAUUAGGUUAAUUUUGUUGUAUUCUUCAUGGAUGAAAAUUUUGAAAUAUCAAAUUUGAGCAUGUAUUUUGUGGUAGAAUUAGGUUUAUUUUGUUAUAAUUUUGGUGAUUCUACAGAUUCUUCGAGACAUUCUGUGUCUACAGAUUUUUUGGGACCACUUUGUCUCAAAUGGUGUCGCUAACAGGUGCCUUGUUUCUUCGUAAAAUUUGGAGUUGUCGUCUCCGUCGAUCCUUGUUUAAGCUGGAGUAAGGUGUAUAUAGUUUCCCUUUUUGUUUGUUAAUUAAUUCUUCUUUAGCUGUUACAUGUGCCCUCAAUCUUCACUUAUCUCUGUAUACUUGUAUUCAUACAUUAUAUUCUUAUUGAUUUGUAUCUUCAUUUUUUUCUUCUAAAUCACUAAUUUAUCAUUCUUCUAAAUUUGCAUGUCUUUGCUUAUUUGUUGUAUCUCUUCAAUCCAAUUGACUAUAUUCCAAGGUAGUUUGCAUUUAUCCACAAGUAUUCUUUGUAAAUAUAUUGAAUAUGGUUGGAUCAUGAUAUGAUCCAAAUGUUUGUUAUUACAAUGCUUGAUAGCUUCUAGGAUAGCCAGUGUCUCAGAUUAUUUUGGCCCUUACCAUAUCUGUAAUUCUGGCCAGGAGAAAGCAUAUCUAAAAGGUCAUAAACAGACUUCCUCUGUAGAAAAACAUCCCAUUUUGGACCAAAGUGUGUCCUACAUUGUUCCUGUAUUGUUUUAUAUAAACAAAUGUAUAAUCUUAUAGAAAAUGUUCCUUUGUUUAAUUUAUCAGGUCCGAUCCCUCUCCAAUAUUUGGAACUGAAAUUAACGAGAGAGCUUCUAGAUCUUCAAGGAUAAAGAAAGUUGAGGUACUCUUUCAUUUGCUUAGAUCACUAUAAUUUCUCAGUGGUUAGGCCUCUAGGGAAAUAGUUGAGGCCUCAAGUUCAUCUGAUGCUUAUGCUUAAAGUCAACUACAGUAGUAAUAAAUAGAGAUAAAUAGACAUUUGCUCUCAGAUACUGAAUGUUCUUGUUUAAUUUAUCAGGUCUGGCCCCUUUUCAAUAUUUGCUUUAUCUGGAACUGGAAUUAACGGGAGAGCUUCUAGAUCUUCAGGGAUAAAGAAAGUUGAGGUACUCUUUCCAUUUCUGCAUAUAAUGUUACAUAAAAAUUGUUAAAUAUGUCUGUAAUCUUAUAAUUUUCUCAUGAAAAUCUUAUAGGUGAUAUUGUCUGCUAAUCUUGUUUUUUUUUAUGGAUAAAUCUUGGAUUAGAAUGCCAAGGACCACAAAAGAAUAUUUGGUUGGCUUGAAUCAGUUCCUAGAAUUUGCAUUUAAAAAUGGAGCUAUAGAAGAUAGAAUAAAAUGUCCGUGUCCUCAAUGUUGUUUUGGCAAAUGGAAGACUAGAGAUAUAGUGUUUGAACAUUUGACUUGCAAGCCAUUUGAUCGCGUCUUUGAUCAAAUCAUAGUGGUAUAAACUCUAUAUUCUGACUACUAUACCUAUAUUCUUUUCUUGGACUUUUAUAUUUGGAUUUAAUAGAUAAGCUAACUAGUGUUUAUUCUUGAAGCCUUGAUUUUUUUCCGAGACAACCGACGAUAAGCUAACUAGUGCUUAUUCUGGAUCCACUGUGUUUUCUAGUGACAUAUCUAUUGAGAUUAGCUUCUUUAUUUCUGGCAAAGUUUUAUGGGCAAGGCAGCACUCAUGGUCUAGAACAUAUUUUCCAGGAUUGCUUCUGGAGCUUAGAAUGUGGAGUGUUGUUUGGUCUGAAUUAGGAAAAAAGAAUGUGGAAAUAUGAGUAUUUGUCUAUAGAACUUUGUGGAGUGUUGUUUGGUCUGGAUUAAUGCAAGAACAAGAUAAAAACUUGUGAUUCUUUUACUAUUAUGUGCAAUAAAGAAGUAGCAAGGUCCAGAACAUAUUUUUGCAUAUUCUUGUAUGUUAGUAUUGACCUAUUUGUUUAUGAUUGGCAUUUGUAUUGACAUUCAUAGUAGAGAAUUUAGUAUUUGUUUACAUACUGUUAUUGACAUACAAUAUGUAAGUAUUUUUUUUAUAAAUCACCAUAAUGGUUGGAUUAGGUUUCAGUCCUAAUCAUUUUAUUGCAUUCAAAAGAGGUUACAAAAGAAGGGUGAGAGCAUUUAUCAUAUUACUUAUUGUGUAUUUUUCUUUGUAGACAGAUGAUGCUAGUGACAGUAGUCGUAGUGACAAUCGUUGAAGUUCCAUGAAUAGUUGCAGGUCAUUUCUUGAGUAUGGAUGCUAGUGAACCCUUUUCAUCAAUAAAAGCAAGAUUAGCGAAUGACAGUUUUUGUAGUGAUUUGAAGUUUCUUGUAAUCGUAAUGGUUGAAGUGAAUGGUAUGUUUCAAUUUAGUUUGUAAAACUAAUAGUACACUUUAUGAUAUAUUUUUUUGUUGAAAUAUUUUGUUAUUUCUUAAUACUAAUAAGCCCUUUUAGGUUUGACUAUGAUGUACAUGUUAAUUAGUCAUUAAUAUUUAAAAUAGAUUUUUUCUAGCAUAAUGCUCUAGAAGGUUACAUGUUCAUAAAUUACAGGGGUUAGAACUCUAGUUAAUCUUAAUGUAAAAUUCAUGAUUUGUGGGGAUUUUGACUCCCAAAGUUCACAAAUUGCAGGGGUUUUGACUCCUAGAUAUUGAAGUGCAGUUUUAUAGAUAUACAUUUGUGGGUUCAAAACCCCCAGUAAUAAGCCCCCGCUAAUGGUAGCAGGGGUUCGUCCAAAACUCCUGGGACUUAAUUGUGGCACACCUAAUUGCAGGAGUUCUCUCAACUGCCACAACACUAAAUUGUGAGGGUUACUGACUGUCAGAACAUGUAAUUUUAACCCCUGCAAUUUAGGCGUUUUUUUGUAGUGUGGUUUAAUUUAAUUGUCCAUUUAAUGGCAAGUUAUAAAUUUGUUUACUUAUAUUUUGUGACGGUAGUCAAGGGAGCACCCACAAUUUGAAAAUCCUGGAUCCGCCACUGUAUGUACUUGAAUUUAAAUAAUACUUAAAGUCUAUAGUACCAAAAUAUUUGAACGUUAUUUCAAAGAAAUAAACCUUAGAUCCGUAAAACGUGUGUUAAAAACUAGAAAUAAAAAGAAAUAUGAUAAAUUUAACUGGCUAUUAUAAUUUCAAUAUGUAAUUUAUUUGAUCAGUACAAUGCAUCUAUUAAUCAUGACAAUUAAUGAGAUAGAUUGCACAUACAUGUAACUACAAAGUUUAUUUCCCA
This 19658-nucleotide long non-coding RNA is filed under the name Solanum tuberosum (potato). Its description in RNAcentral is "long non-coding RNA (STUB_LNC002376)". The record is from RNAcentral. Lineage: Eukaryota; Viridiplantae; Streptophyta; Magnoliopsida; Solanales; Solanaceae.